Molecule: non-coding RNA, 5065 nt
Organism: Podarcis lilfordi (Lilford's wall lizard)
Lineage: Eukaryota; Metazoa; Chordata; Lepidosauria; Squamata; Lacertidae
Source: the annotation of a GenBank genome assembly
GUUCUAGUAACUGAGCACUUAUGCUUCUCCUUAAUUUCCUCCUUGGAGAUUAAUAAAAUAUUAAGACCACAUCCUGCUUUCCUGUACAAACUACUCUUGGGACAUGAAUUCCCCUUCAUCCUCUAUAGUAAAAGGUGAUGCAGAAACGAAAUUUCAGCUACUGAUUGACUUAAGCUAAAACAAUCAGCCCAGCCAUCUAUGACACAAAAAGCAUGCAAAGCAGGGGUUGCUCUGUUCACAGACAUUGCUACACUUAAAAAAAAGGUAGAUAAAAUAUAUAGACAAUAUUCUUCUUGAAAACACUCUAGUCACCAGCCCAGAUCUGGCAACUGAGCAAGGAGCCUGUACAUUAUGCCUGAACAAUAUUAUACAGAGCCACCAACAUUAAAUCAAAGUGUUAAUGCAUCUGUAUGUGUAAAACAAAUGCAGUAAUCCCAUUGAGUACAUGCAUUAAUAUCUGAGAGAUGGGAUUUCAUUACUCCCUGUAAUUAAACUAGAAAAAGGCCAUUGGUCUGCUGCAUCCCACUUACUCAAAACUAAAGGCAUAGAAGUUGAUCACUAAUCCAGUAUCUGCUUGCUAUUGCCGCUCAACUGUGCCUUCUGUUUGCAAAGCAGAUUUGGAUACUAGGCACCCCAAACACUGAACAGACAAGCCACUAAAAGGUGCUUUAAGAGAGAGUGGAGAACUGGACCAUUAAGUACCCAUCUGAAAAAUUGAGUAAAAGGCAAUAUUUGGUCAGAGGCUUCUCUGAUCACUGCAGCAUGGGGUUGUCUUUGAUUUCUAUGCAAUUCUUCAAAAUUACAGAGUUUGGAUGUGGCAGCGCUAGUUCCAAAUGACACCACAUACAUUUUUUUUUUAGUGUCUAAUUCAGGGGCAGGUGACCUGAAGAUCUCUGGCCUCUUGCUCUCCAGGCAACCAUGUGGAGAAAACUUCCUCUUCCAUAUUGUGUGUGACAGAGUGAAGGAGAGAGAAGACAUGGUUGCUACACGAUGAAACCAUUAAAAAAAGGGGGUGGCUCACCCACUUUUGGAUGCUCCUCCAUCCACAGCAAGCAUGCAACUGCCAACAGAUUUCCCCUGAAAGAAUGCAGCCCUUGAUUGGGGUGGGUGGGAGAGAACGGUUCUUGAUCCACAUUCCUGGUCUAAAACAUCAUUCUGAAUGCUGAAGAUCUGAGAGCAGAAAAAUCACAGGAAGUUAAUUCCACGUAUUACAUGCACAGCGAAUUGUGGGAUUUUUUUGAGGGGUUGAUUACAGUUUCAAUGAGUUUUAUGGGAUUUGUUCCUAUGCAUAAGAUUGGGGCGUUACUUCUGAGUGCAUAGGAUUAGACGGUAAAUCCCAUUGAGUUCAAUGGUGUUCAUUCUCUUUAUCCUGCCUUUUGACAAAGGAGCUGUGUGUUUGUGUUAAAAAACCAAGGCAGAAGGAGUGGGGAUACUUUUUGAGUUCAAACAGUAAAAAUCAUUCAAUGUAUUCUUUGUACAUGUGGCGUUUUGCAUCAGUACUCAAAACAGAAUAAACCACUGAAUCAAAGACCAAGCUAGCACGCUGUUAACUGCUGUGCUUGCCUGCAUCUAUUGGGGAUCAAACAGUAAUAGAGUAUCAAGGACCACUAUAAAAUAGUCACAGGUAUUGCACGCCAGUUUCGGGAGUACCAGUGCAUGAGCAGUUAACACCUUAGUGACUAAAAAGGCCAUUGACAGUAGAUUCUAGUGGGAACCUGAAAGCAUAUAACAUCAAACCUCAGUUUGUUCCAUUAACUGGAUCUUUUAUUUCAGGGUAGAGAGGUUACCUUUUUAAAAAAUAUGGAAGGACUCCUCAGUAGCUAUGUGAUUUUAACAGUUGCAUUGGUGGGAAAGCUUCCUCUAUGGCAGGCUUCCUCAACCUUGGGCCUCCAGAUGUUUUGAGACUACAAUUCCCAUCAUCCCUGACCACUGGUCCUGCUAGCUAGGGAUCAUGGGAGUUGUAGGCCAAAAACAUCUGGAGGCCCAAGGUUGAGGAAGCCUGCUCUAUGGAACCUCUGCCUGUCACGGAUGUUAAAGGCAGAGGUUCCAUAAUUGGAGAGAUUAUUUGUUUCAUUUCAUUUAUGAAUCAUUUCCCCUGAAACAAUAAAAAAGAGAAAAGCAUCAACAAUAAAAACAACAAUAUGUAACAACAAUUUCAAAUUGAUAUUAGUCUAAUCAUGUAUAGUAGCAGUGGGUUUUUCUGGGGGGUACUCAAGGGUACGCAGUACCGCCCCCAGAAGAAAAUCACUGUAUGGUAGUAUUAUACUGAAGUGUAGCUGAAAAUGCAUACACUCCUGGUUAAAGUUUUCAUGUCAGCAUAGGAUGUUUUAGAAAGGCAUGGGGAAUAAUUGGCUCUCCAGGUGUUACUGGGCUCCAAAUCCCAUCAGUUCUAGCCAGCAUUGCCAGUGACCAGGGAUGAAUAGGGAUGUUGUGGGCUGCAAUCCAAAAUAUAGGGAGGACUUCAAUUUCCCCAUCUAAGAUGCAUCUGUUACUUGCCCAGAAGCUAUCCACAAUUUGUAGUAUUUGCAUAUUUGUAUUGCCAGGGCCAAACUGCGGGAGGCAGUGGAAGACAGGAGUGCCUGGCGUGCUCUGGUCCAUGGGGUCACGAAGAGUCGGACAUGACUAAACAACUAAACAACAACAAAUUGUCAGGGCUGGGCCAUGGGCAACAGUGUUGCAUGAGCCAACGGUCAUGGGACAGGCUAGUAGUCAAGACCUAAGAGUAAAAGCAGAGGAAUGCAGGGAGUCGGGGCUAAGAAAUAAGCCAAGAUUGAUGAGCAGGUUCCCGCCAAUUGAAUCAUACGCAUAACCCCCUGUUGCACAAGCAAGGCUCAACAGGAAGCCCUCUUACAACUCUUUUCUGGUCAGGAAGAUACAAUGGCCACGUUGUGUGAGCAGAGUUGGUCUAGGCUAGGGUCUGAAGAUCCUUUCCUGAGAAGCUGCCACCUACAGCUCCAUGACUCACCACAAGGGGGAACUCAACAAAUUUCAGCGGCCUCUCAUACUCCAUUCUACAGCAUUGUUGUGGGGCUCCCCUGUGGCUGAACAUGGUACCCUAAAACCAUAUCUGGCGUAGUCAGUAAACAAGUCAUCUGGAAGCACCUUUAGCCUAGACAAUAAGAAGCUGGGUAGAACAGCAACACAGAAUUAACAUGAAUCAUGUAUUAAUUAAUUAGUAUUAUUGUUAUUUAUAUACCGCCCUAUACCCAGGGGUCUCAGGGUAGCUCACAGAAUAAAAUCAAGAUAUAAAACCACAAUCAAAUGUAGUGUAAAACUCUGAAGCUCAGUGUAUUAUACAGCAGGCAGGUGGAAAAUUGUCCAUCUCAUAAUUGCUAUACACCCAGACUAACUUAAGAAUCAUCCCACCAUCCCAGGGCACCAUUUCUGGUUGGAGAGACUAAAUGAAUCCCCAGCACCUUCAACUAAGCAGUGCUUUUGCACUGAAGUUAUUGCCACUGUCCGCCUACACUAAACUGCAAACCUAUUGGGCAGGGCUGUCCUUGUAGGUAUUGUGAACUGGGCUUAGUUUCUUAGGCACUUCGCAAAUGAAAUAUAUUGGGCGAGAUUCAGUUGUGGCAGCUUGCUUGCUCAAUGGAAGGUUUACUUGUGGAAUGGGACUUUCAGAUUCCCUUCUCUCUUCCACCUUUGCACAGCCUGAAAAUCUGCCCUGGAGGGUCCCUCAACCACUGGGGCAUAUUGGGGGUGAUGUAUGGUGGUGGCGGCAGGGCUGCUACAGGGAGAAGAAACAUAAGACAGCUGCUAUGCUUAUAACCACAACACAAAAUUAUUAGUACUUUUAAAAGACUAGAAUCAGAGUGAGCCAUGUGACUGGUGGGGUGUAUGACAGUCAACAGAUUUGGACAGCUGACUGAAUGGUCAUACUAUAUUUUUGCUCUCAUUUAAUAAAGCUAUUGUUGUUGCUGAAUUGUCAUGCUACAUUUUUGCUCUUACGAAGUUACUUUGUGUUAUGAAUGGUUUAUGCUACACCCCUGCAUUGAAGUCACAACUUAACUAUUGUUAAGAUAACAAUAAAUUUCUUUUAUGGAUGCCAGAACAAUUAGAUUGGCAUAAACACAAGCAUAAAUUUGUCGUGUAGAGAUAAGCGCAUAGGAAAGCAGCUCCCAUCCAGAACAGAUCAGUAACUGUGCCUUAGAAUCGGGUGAGGAUUCCAGAGAGUCACACAUGCCCUGGAUCAGAGUAGCCAUUAUAGCUGAAGAUACAUGAACUACCCCUUAUUUGUAGUGUGACUGGGCAUGUGGAUAAACUGAUUAUUUCUCUGCCUCACCCCCAUUAUUUCAGAUCUCCUUUUUAAAGCCAUUUGCAGUGAUGUGAAGAAGCCAUUUAUCAACUUGAUUAGCCCUGCACAUGAAUGACUCUCCAGGUGGCAAUAUUCAUCCCAGGGACUGCUUUAUGUGGUUCCUCUGUGCACACAAACAGCGGCACUGUAGACCUCUUUAUAGCUUUUAAGCAGAGAACAAGCAUUAUUGCUUAACCAAUGAGAAUUGAUAAGGUAAGAGGAAACCUGCUUAUGAAAUUCACCUCACUGGAAGAACUCUUUAUUUUUUUUCUGCUGAAACAGAUAAUCUUUAUUUCUUAGUAUUUAAAAGACUUAUCAUUCUUAUCUCCUUUUGCAACUACUGGAAUUGCAAUUUAGGAAACUCACCCUAUUUUUAAUAAAUAUGUUUUGUUUUGUUGUUGCUGGCAUCUGUCGGUCUUCAGAGACAAUGGAGUGCACCUCUGGAGGUGAAGUCAAACAGCUGUGUUUGCAGCAGUGAAGUGACAGCCCCAGAUCACAAGCCUGGGCAGUGUGUAUGGAGGUCCUGGGCCGGCUAGACAAUAAGACUCAGCCUCACUGAUGUGGCCCAAAGGAAAGCAGAUCUUUUAAGGAUGAGAAAAAUAUUGUGGCAUAUUAUCCUUGAAAUUCACAUUCAAAUGACUGACAAAAUCCAAUGGUCUCUGAAUUGGUUUGGUGAUCUUUCCUCUUUUAUUUUUUUGAGCCAAUAUGACUUCGAUAUAUGAGAAGAUAUUAGAAGAGAUUAGAACAGUCUCUUGAUAACAAGGCCAG